AACUUUUAACAAUGGAUCACUUGGUUCUGGCAGCGAUGAAGAACGCAGCGAAAUGCGAUAAGUAAUGUGAAUUGCAGAAUUCAGCGAAUCAUCGAAUCUUUGAACGCACAUUGCGCCCCUUGGUAUUCCCAGGGGCAUGCCUGUUCGAGCGUCAUUAUAACCACUCAAGCCUCGGCUUGGUCUUGGGGUUCGCGGUCUCGCGGCUCUUAAAAUCAGUGGCGGUGCCGUCUGGCUCUAAGCGUAGUAAUUCUCUCGCUAUAGGGUCCAGGUGACCACCUGCCAGAACCCUCCAUUCUUUACGGUUGACCUCGGAUCAGGUAGGGAUACCCGCUGAACUUAAGCAUAUCAAUAAGCGGAGGCU
This 361-nucleotide unclassified non-coding RNA is filed under the name uncultured Cadophora. Its description in RNAcentral is "sequence contains ITS2". The stretch from base 1 to 154 matches the Rfam family "5.8S ribosomal RNA". The record is from RNAcentral. Lineage: Eukaryota; Fungi; Ascomycota; Leotiomycetes; Helotiales.